UACGUAGGGGGCUAGCGUUGUCCGGAAUCAUUGGGCGUAAAGAGCGUGUAGGCGGUCCGGUAAGUCCGCUGUGAAAGUCGGGGGCUCAACCCUCGAAUGCCGGUGGAUACUGUCGGGCUAGAGUGCGGAAGAGGCGAGUGGAAUUCCUGGUGUAGCGGUGAAAUGCGCAGAUAUCAGGAGGAACACCGGUGGCGAAGGCGGGUCUCUGGGCCGAUACUGACGCUGAGGCACGAAAGCCAGGGUAGCAAACGGG
RNAcentral lists this ribosomal RNA (253 nucleotides) under uncultured bacterium. Its description in RNAcentral is "partial 16S ribosomal RNA". It matches the Rfam family "Bacterial small subunit ribosomal RNA", at positions 524 to 776 of the family's 1533-position model. The record is from RNAcentral.